RNAcentral lists this ribosomal RNA (922 nucleotides) under Lactiplantibacillus plantarum. RNAcentral describes it as "bacterial SSU rRNA". It matches the Rfam family "Bacterial small subunit ribosomal RNA", at positions 46 to 933 of the family's 1533-position model. Lineage: Bacteria; Bacillati; Bacillota; Bacilli; Lactobacillales; Lactobacillaceae. The record is from RNAcentral.
GCCUAAUACAUGCAGUCGAACGAACUCUGGUAUUGAUUGGUGCUUGCAUCAUGAUUUACAUUUGAGUGAGUGGCGAACUGGUGAGUAACACGUGGGAAACCUGCCCAGAAGCGGGGGAUAACACCUGGAAACAGAUGCUAAUACCGCAUAACAACUUGGACCGCAUGGUCCGAGUUUGAAAGAUGGCUUCGGCUAUCACUUUUGGAUGGUCCCGCGGCGUAUUAGCUAGAUGGUGGGGUAACGGCUCACCAUGGCAAUGAUACGUAGCCGACCUGAGAGGGUAAUCGGCCACAUUGGGACUGAGACACGGCCCAAACUCCUACGGGAGGCAGCAGUAGGGAAUCUUCCACAAUGGACGAAAGUCUGAUGGAGCAACGCCGCGUGAGUGAAGAAGGGUUUCGGCUCGUAAAACUCUGUUGUUAAAGAAGAACAUAUCUGAGAGUAACUGUUCAGGUAUUGACGGUAUUUAACCAGAAAGCCACGGCUAACUACGUGCCAGCAGCCGCGGUAAUACGUAGGUGGCAAGCGUUGUCCGGAUUUAUUGGGCGUAAAGCGAGCGCAGGCGGUUUUUUAAGUCUGAUGUGAAAGCCUUCGGCUCAACCGAAGAAGUGCAUCGGAAACUGGGAAACUUGAGUGCAGAAGAGGACAGUGGAACUCCAUGUGUAGCGGUGAAAUGCGUAGAUAUAUGGAAGAACACCAGUGGCGAAGGCGGCUGUCUGGUCUGUAACUGACGCUGAGGCUCGAAAGUAUGGGUAGCAAACAGGAUUAGAUACCCUGGUAGUCCAUACCGUAAACGAUGAAUGCUAAGUGUUGGAGGGUUUCCGCCCUUCAGUGCUGCAGCUAACGCAUUAAGCAUUCCGCCUGGGGAGUACGGCCGCAAGGCUGAAACUCAAAGGAAUUGACGGGGGCCUGCACAAGCGUG